AUGGUAUGCGUAGAAGUGUUUGGCGUAAGCCUGCAUGGAGCUGCCAUUGGUACAGAUCUUGGUGGUAGUAGCAAAUAAUCGAAUGAGACCUUGGAGGACUGAAGUGGAGAAGGGUUUCGUGUGAACAGUGGUUGAUCACGAGUUAGUCGGUCCUAAGUUCAAGGCGAAAGCCGAAAAUUUUCAAGUAAAACAAAAAUGCCUAACUAUAUAAACAAAGCGAAUUAUAAUACACUUGAAUAAUUUUGAACGAAAGGGAAUACGGUUCCAAUUCCGUAACCUGUUGAGUAUCCGUUUGUUAUUAAAUAUGGGCCUCGUGCUCAUCCUGGCAACAGGAACGACCAUAAAGAAGCCGUCGAGAGAUAUCGGAAGAGUUUUCUUUUCUGUUUUAUAGCCGUACUACCAUGGAAGUCUUUCGCAGAGAGAUAUGGUAGAUGGGCUAGAAGAGCAUGACAUAUACUGUUGUGUCGAUAUUUUCUCCUCGGACCUUGAAAAUUUAUGGUGGGGACACGCAAACUUCUCAACAGGCCGUACCAAUAUCCGCAGCUGGUCUCCAAGGUGAAGAGUCUCUAGUCGAUAGAAUAAUGUAGGUAAGGGAAGUCGGCAAAUUAGAUCCGUAACUUCGGGAUAAGGAUUGGCUCUGAAGAUUGAGAUAGUCGGGCUUGAUUGGGAAACAAUAACAUGGUUUAUGUGCUCGUUCUGGGUAAAUAGAGUUUCUAGCAUUUAUGUUAGUUACUUGUUCCCCGGAUAGUUUAGUUACGUAGCCAAUUGUGGAACUUUCUUGCUAAAAUUUUUAAGAAUACUAUUUGGGUUAAACCAAUUAGUUCUUAUUAAUUAUAACGAUUAUCAAUUAACAAUCAAUUCAGAACUGGCACGGACUUGGGGAAUCCGACUGUCUAAUUAAAACAAAGCAUUGUGAUGGCCCUAGCGGGUGUUGACACAAUGUGAUUUCUGCCCAGUGCUCUGAAUGUCAAAGUGAAGAAAUUCAAGUAAGCGCGGGUCAACGGCGGGAGUAACUAUGACUCUCUUAAGGUAGCCAAAUGCCUCGUCAUCUAAUUAGUGACGCGCAUGAAUGGAUUAACGAGAUUCCUACUGUCCCUAUCUACUAUCUAGCGAAACCACAGCCAAGGGAACGGGCUUGGAAUAAUUAGCGGGGAAAGAAGACCCUUUUGAGCUUGACUCUAAUCUGGCAGUGUAAGGAGACAUAAGAGGUGUAGAAUAAGUGGGAGAUAUUAGACCUCGGUUUGGUAUCGUCAAUGAAAUACCACUACUCUUAUUGUUUCCUUACUUACUUGAUUAAAUGGAACGUGUAUCAUUUCCUAGCCAUUAUACGGAUAUAUUUAUUAUAUCUUAUGGUAUUGGGUUUUGAUGCAAGCUUCUUGAUCAAAGUAUCACGAGUUUGUUAUAUAAUCGCAAACAAAUUCUUUAAUAAAACGAUGCAUUUAUGUAUUUUUGAUUUGAAAAUUUGGUAUAACUCCAAUUACUCAGGUAUGAUCCAAUUCAAGGACAUUGCCAGGUAGGGAGUUUGACUGGGGCGGUACAUCUCUCAAAUAAUAACGGAGGUGUCCCAAGGCCAGCUCAGUGCGGACAGAAACCACACAUAGAGCAAAAGGGCAAAUGCUGACUUGAUCUCGGUGUUCAGUACACACAGGGACAGCAAAAGCUCGGCCUAUCGAUCCUUUUGGUUUAAAGAGUUUUUAACAAGAGGUGUCAGAAAAGUUACCAUAGGGAUAACUGGCUUGUGGCGGCCAAGCGUUCAUAGCGACGUCGCUUUUUGAUCCUUCGAUGUCGGCUCUUCCUAUCAUUGUGAAGCAAAAUUCACCAAGCGUUGGAUUGUUCACCCAUGCAAGGGAACGUGAGCUGGGUUUAGACCGUCGUGAGACAGGUUAGUUUUACCCUACUAAUGACAAAACGUUGUUGCGACAGCAUUCCUGCGUAGUACGAGAGGAACCGCAGGUACGGACCAAUGGCACAAUACUUGUUCGAGCGAACAGUGGUAUGACGCUACGUCCGUUGGAUUAUGCCUGAACGCCUCUAAGGUCGUAUCCGUGCUGGACUGCAAUGAUAAAUAAGGGGCAAUUUGCAUUGU
This 2086-nucleotide ribosomal RNA is filed under the name Drosophila melanogaster (fruit fly). Its description in RNAcentral is "eukaryotic LSU rRNA". It matches the Rfam family "Eukaryotic large subunit ribosomal RNA", at positions 1394 to 3185 of the family's 3401-position model. The record is from RNAcentral. Lineage: Eukaryota; Metazoa; Arthropoda; Insecta; Diptera; Drosophilidae.